GGCUAUUCCCCAUCAGAAAUUCAUGAAAUCUUGGAAAGUUAAAAUCCCCAGAUGAAGGGUUUACUCUCUCUUGUUCUCUUGCUCCUCUCUUGCUUUGUGACCAGCACACACCCAUGCAUUUGCUUGUUCUCUCUACAUAGCCAUGUGGCCUUAGGCAGCCACAUGGUCCAUAUCCAUGCAGACUUCACACACAGGAUGCUAGACUGGACUGUAUUUUAAUAUGAAGCAGAAAUUAUGGGCAAUGGCCUUAAUUCUACCCCUGCUGAAGACAAGAUUGGACUUCUUCCAUAGCAACACAGGCAGAGAUGGGACCUUGGAGGGGAACCCCUCUUAAUUUUACAUCAUCAAUAAAGCUUUCCAAGGAACCCCAUCUUCCCAUUGGAGCUUCAGGAAACUCUUUUCCUCAUGGCACCCCAAGAACUCCACUUCCAUCAAUAACACUCUUACUUGUUUCAACAGGUGAUACAGGAAAAGAGUGGUCCUAUGAGCUAUAGCAGCCAAUGAAUGGCCUGGGAUUGCACACUGGGAGGCAGCCAGGACCAAGAGGUGAAGAGGAGGAAAAUGGGAAUAGGAAGAAAGAAAAUGGCAAGAAAGAGGACAGGAGAAAGGUAAGUAGAAGGAUGGGUAGAACAGAAAUGUCUUUGUUUAUUCUGGUCGCUAUCACAAAAUACCAUGGGUGGCAUUAAACAACUGGAAUUUAUUUCUCACGAGUUUGGAGGCUAAAAUCUGAGAUCAAGGUGUUUGCAUCAACAGUUUCUCUGUCUAGUGAGGGCCUCCUAUGGAGUGGGGGAAGGGGUGCUAAUCCCAUUCCUGAGGGCUCUGCCCCAUGACUUAAUCACCUCCUAAAGGCCCCAUCUCCAAAUAUCAUCACCUUGGGGGUUAAGUUUCAACAUAAGAAUUGGGGGAAGCAGGGGGCACAAACCUUCAAACCAUAGUAGAGGGGGGAAGACAGGUUUUAAACAAAGGAUUAGCAACUUUCUCCUAGCCCUCUCUUGCAAUUGUCCUUUGUUUGUAUGUACAUUUGUAAAUGAAUAGAAGAGGAAGAAAUGGAAAGAGGAAAAGAAAAAAGAAAAAAAGUCAUUAAUCUGGGGACAGGUGGUGGUGAGCCCCUGGGAAUUUUAAAGCACAUGCAUGUAUUACAAGAAUAAACUUCUCUGUAUUGCU
Myotis brandtii (Brandt's bat) is the source of this 1164-nucleotide long non-coding RNA. RefSeq lists it as uncharacterized. The record is from RefSeq and is a predicted model, not a curated record. NCBI's taxonomy places the organism in Eukaryota, Metazoa, Chordata, Mammalia, Chiroptera, Vespertilionidae. The transcript is spliced from 2 exons.